This 895-nucleotide long non-coding RNA is filed under the name Anas platyrhynchos platyrhynchos (common mallard). Its description in RNAcentral is "lncRNA (ENSAPLG00000019650.1)". The record is from RNAcentral. Lineage: Eukaryota; Metazoa; Chordata; Aves; Anseriformes; Anatidae.
AUUUGACCCCCUCCCGUGCCCUCUCCUCAGCACUGUGCCAGCAGAGGGCCCCCAUCGGCUACCAGGACUACUACUACGCACUGACCACGAGCACCACCCUCCGCUGCAUCACCAACUGCACGGCCAACACGCCCGGCACCAUGGACUGCCACCACGGCGAGUGCCACGUCACCCGUGCCGGGCCACAGUGCUUCUGCCAGGAUGAAUCUCUCUACUGGUACACGGGCAGCCGGUGCUCCGGGCGCGUCAGCAAGGUGUCCACAGGGCUGGGGGUGGCGGUCAUGGUGCUGUUCAUUGCCUGCAUCACCAUUACUGUGCUGCUGGUGAUACGGAGGAAGAGCAGGAAGAGGAACACUUCAGCCUCCGUUGAUGAGAACUGGUACGAGGAUGAAGGCAGCACCUGGACGGCAUCCAACGGCUUCGUCCUCAAGAACAAAAACUCCACCGAACCAGGUGACAGCCUAAAGAGCUUCACGGCCUCACAGCAACGGGUGAACACCAACAUCCCGAUGCAGAUCACCAGACCCUCAGUGCGACCCCAGUUGUGACCCAGGUCUUCGCUGGCCCCUCCUCACCUCAUUGCCCACCAGCACUACCAGGACCUUCUCAAUGACGCUCAUUCCAAGGACAACGUUGCCUCCUGCUCAUCUUGGUGCCAACCAGAACUUCCAGAACCUUCUCAAUGACGCUGAUUCCAAUAUCAUCGUUGGCUCCUCCUGACCUCAUUGCCCACCAGGACCUCUAGGACCUUCUCAACAACACUGGUUAAAAGGACUAUGCUGCCUCCUUGUCACCUCAUUGCCCACCAGCACUUCCAGGACCUUCUCAACAACUCUGCUUCCAAGGUCAUCGUUGGCUCCUGCUCACCACAGUGCCCACGGGAUUUAUGGGGCUG